RNAcentral lists this ribosomal RNA (468 nucleotides) under uncultured bacterium. RNAcentral's name for it is "partial 16S ribosomal RNA". It matches the Rfam family "Bacterial small subunit ribosomal RNA", at positions 28 to 507 of the family's 1533-position model. The record is from RNAcentral.
GACGAACGCUGGCGGCGUGCUUAACACAUGCAAGUCGAACGGAAAGGCCCUGCUUUUGUGGGGUGCUCGAGUGGCGAACGGGUGAGUAACACGUGAGUAACCUGCCCUUGACUUUGGGAUAACUUCAGGAAACUGGGGCUAAUACCGGAUAGGAGCUCCUGCUGCAUGGUGGGGGUUGGAAAGUUUCGGCGGUUGGGGAUGGACUCGCGGCUUAUCAGCUUGUUGGUGGGGUAGUGGCUUACCAAGGCUUUGACGGGUAGCCGGCCUGAGAGGGUGACCGGCCACAUUGGGACUGAGAUACGGCCCAGACUCCUACGGGAGGCAGCAGUGGGGAAUAUUGCACAGUGGGCGGAAGCCUGAUGCAGCAACGCCGCGUGCGGGAUGACGACCUUCGGGUUGUAAACCGCUUUCGCCUGUGACGAAGCGUGAGUGACGGUAAUGGGUAAAGAAGCACCGGCUAACUACGUG